Long non-coding RNA from Macadamia integrifolia, 332 nucleotides. RefSeq lists it as uncharacterized. NCBI's taxonomy places the organism in Eukaryota, Viridiplantae, Streptophyta, Magnoliopsida, Proteales, Proteaceae. The record is from RefSeq and is a predicted model, not a curated record. The transcript has 3 exons.
UCCCUCAAAAUCUGAUUUCCAUCGCCGAAUUACUCUUCGAUGCUCAGCCCUCUGCCCUCAUUAUAAGAAUCGAAAUUAGGGUUUUUUCAAACCCUUCACAAAGUUUGCCGAAUUGUUGCAGAGGCUGCUAUCUUCUUCUCGCGCCGGAGCUCAGUAAUGGCGGGAGUGGCACCUGAAGGAUCACAAUUUGAUGCUCGUCAAUAUGAUACCAAAAUGAAUGAAUUGCUUGGAUCUGAUGGGCAGGAAUUCUUUACUUCAUAUGAUGAGGUAUAUGACAGUUUUGAUGCUAUGGGCUUGCAAGAGAAUCUUUUGAGGGGCAUCUAUGCAUACGG